Molecule: ribosomal RNA, 433 nt
Filed under: uncultured bacterium
Lineage: Bacteria
Description: partial 16S ribosomal RNA
Rfam family: Bacterial small subunit ribosomal RNA
Source: RNAcentral
AACGAACGCUGGCGGCAUGCCUAACACAUGCAAGUCGAACGAGACCUUCGGGUCUAGUGGCGCACGGGUGCGUAACGCGUUGGAACCUGCCCUUAGGUUCGGAAUAGCUCCCCGAAAGGGGUGCUAAUACCGGAUAAUGUCUUCGGACCAAAGAUUUAUCGCCUUUGGAUGGGCCCGCGUUGGAUUAGCUAGUUGGUAGGGUAAAAGCCUACCAAGGCGACGAUCCAUAGCUGGUCUGAGAGGAUGAUCAGCCACACUGGGACUGAGACACGGCCCAGACUCCUACGGGAGGCAGCAGUGGGGAAUAUUGGACAAUGGGCGAAAGCCUGAUCCAGCAAUGCCGCGUGAGUGAUGAAGGCCUUAGGGUUGUAAAGCUCUUUUACCCGGGAUGAUAAUGACAGUACCGGGAGAAUAAGCUCCGGCUAACUCCGUG